This is a long non-coding RNA of Peromyscus leucopus (white-footed mouse), 723 nucleotides long. RefSeq lists it as uncharacterized. Lineage: Eukaryota; Metazoa; Chordata; Mammalia; Rodentia; Cricetidae. The transcript is spliced from 3 exons. The record is from RefSeq and is a predicted model, not a curated record.
UUCUUAUUUUAGGAGGAGUCCUUAGAGAAGCCGAUAGUAUGUGACCCAAACAAGGGCACUAAAGGAAUUAAAAUACAAAACAUCAUUUAUUCUUAAUUCCAUUCUCUGAAACUUAGCAUCCCACCCCUCUACUGGUAGAGCUCUGAGAACAGUGAAUUUCCGAUCUCCCUGGAGAUCAGACCUGGGAUGCUGCAUGAAGACAAAGCUAAUGAGAAGGAAAUGGAAAUGUCACCCUCAUUAACACAGCCACUCACAGGAAGAAGAGCCAACCCAGAGUCCUGUUCUCUGUGUGCAGCUCUGGCUAGGAGAAGAGGAGAGACAGCGGAGACAGACAAAACUGACAAGUUUGGAAAGCUGGGCUUGGCAACGGCAGGAACCAACGCAGAUCCGGAAAGGUGUUGAAGGGGCACAUCACUUAGAGAGCGUUCGGAGACUCGCAGCGGUUUUGUGACUGAGGGGGAGCUCUGGCAUGGCACGGCUUAGCUAUCUCAACCCCAUCUUCACCUCUUCUUCCUGACCCUUCCCAGUACAUCUUCAUGUGCAGUGUUUCCCAUAGCAGGGGUAUCUUGCCAGGACCUACCACUGGGGUGCAUUGUGACCAUGGCCGUGUCAGGGGCCUUAUUUCUGACAAGGAAAGAUCAAAUACUUGGCUGAAACUGGAUCAUAGAUGGCUGGACCUUCAUGAUGUUUCCAUGAGAUGGUGUCUAACAAGAGGGGGAAAGG